GGUUCGAUGGUGUAGUUGGUUAUCACGUCAGUCUAACAUUCUUCGGAAUUUUAAACACUGAAGGUCCCGAGUUCAAACCUCGGUUGAAUCA
RNAcentral lists this transfer RNA (91 nucleotides) under Plenodomus tracheiphilus IPT5. The record is from Rfam by way of RNAcentral. Lineage: Eukaryota; Fungi; Ascomycota; Dothideomycetes; Pleosporales; Leptosphaeriaceae.